GCUUGCUUUCUUUGCUGGCGACCGGCGCACGGGUGAGUAACACGUAUCCAACCUACCCUUUACUCGGGGAUAGCCUUUCGAAAGAAAGAUUAAUACCCGAUAGCAUAAUGAUUCCGCAUGGUUUCAUUAUUAAAGGAUUCCGGUAAAGGAUGGGGAUGCGUUCCAUUAGGUUGUUGGUGGGGUAACGGCCCACCAAGCCUUCGAUGGAUAGGGGUUCUGAGAGGAAGGUCCCCCACAGUGGAACUGAGACACGGUCCAAACUCCUACGGGAGGCAGCAUG
Molecule: ribosomal RNA, 280 nt
Filed under: uncultured bacterium
Lineage: Bacteria
Description: partial 16S ribosomal RNA
Rfam family: Bacterial small subunit ribosomal RNA
Source: RNAcentral